This 250-nucleotide long non-coding RNA is filed under the name Daucus carota (carrot). RNAcentral's name for it is "long non-coding RNA (DCAR_LNC003433)". Lineage: Eukaryota; Viridiplantae; Streptophyta; Magnoliopsida; Apiales; Apiaceae. The record is from RNAcentral.
AAAAUCCAAAUGCACCUGUUGUUACUUACAAUCCUACAUCUGUAGUAUUCAAGAAGAAGAAAGACUCUGAAGUCACUGCUAUACCACUCACAGAGAUUGGGAAACUCAAUUCCAAAAGAAUCACUCGUGCAGUUGCAGCUGUUAAGUGGUCAGUGGUAAAAGAAGACAAGAGUGUGCUCAAAGAUUUGGUUGAUCUUCUGGAGAUAAGAAAAGCUGUAGAGACUGUCCACAACACUUCUAGAGUUCGUGC